AUGAAUUACAGUCCAAGCAGGUUAGGCAAGGCAAGGCAAUUUUAAUCUUUAUAGCCCGUUUUUACAAACAGUUUGUCUCAAAGAACUUUACAUAGCAUGAGCAUCCUAACAACAUCCUCUUCCCUUAAACCCUCACAUCCAAUGCGUAAAAACUCAGAGGAAAACCCUUUUAACAGGGGAAAAAUUGCAGUUCGUGCAGAGGGAUGGAGCUGUGGAGAAUAUGGGGAAACACAGAGAGACUGCGAGACGCCAUGGCCAAACUACAAGUUGCGAAAGCUCCCCCAUCUGGCGGGGCUCAAGGCCACAACAAGAGGACUCACUCACUACAGGAACGUGGCGUGGGACGGGCCUGCAUUUAUCUAAUAGAUCAAGUUUGGUUUCUGCUGAAAAUACAUUUCUCAUCAGUGCUAGCCGUUUGUCGACGUGUUGUAAUGUCUGCCUUCAACUUCACAGCUAAGAAGGACACCUGUGUUUUGCUAGUCACUGUUAGUAGUGAAUAUGGGAAGUGAAUGAUUCGUGUUAACCGAUGGCCUGGUUAGAAGUGUGGCAGUUUUGCAUUGAUUAAAGUUAGAUUGGGCUAGUUUUCAUAUAUUUUAUAUGUGGUCUUGUACAUUCGUUUGUAAAGCAUUAGUUGUACACGUUUCUUUUGAAACCGAAUGUUCAAUAUGCUGUUAAUACUAGUUAUCUUAGCUUUUAGUUAUAAAAGUAUUUGCAUGAUCUGAGGGAAAUUCUCUCUCUGACUGUGGCCUUAUACCUAUGUGGAAUCUCUGGAUCUUGUUUAAACGUUAACAAAGGUAAAGUGGUGAUAUUUGGUUUCAUCAAAGAUUGUACUAAUGUCACCAGUGACAUCCAUUGUCUCACUGGAGUUUUAAUUAGGCUAGUGGUUACUUGUUAAAUAGGAAGUUUGAUAUUUGUUUCCAAAUUGCUGUAAUCACAUGUUUGGUCUUUUUAUUUUUUUCCCAACCUUCACCAGAAAAAGAGUGCUUCAGAACUCAAGAUCUAUGUCAAGCAAUUU
This 1015-nucleotide long non-coding RNA is filed under the name Gadus morhua (Atlantic cod). Its description in RNAcentral is "lncRNA (ENSGMOG00000026690.1)". The record is from RNAcentral. Lineage: Eukaryota; Metazoa; Chordata; Actinopteri; Gadiformes; Gadidae.